This 460-nucleotide ribosomal RNA is filed under the name uncultured bacterium. Its description in RNAcentral is "partial 16S ribosomal RNA". It matches the Rfam family "Bacterial small subunit ribosomal RNA", at positions 338 to 795 of the family's 1533-position model. The record is from RNAcentral.
CCUACGGGAGACAGCAGUGAGGAAUAUUGGUCAAUGGACGAGAGUCUGAACCAGCCAAGUAGCGUGAAGGAUGACUGCCCUAUGGGUUGUAAACUUCUUUUAUAUGGGAAUAAAACGUUCCACGUGUGGGAUUUUGUAUGUACCAUAUGAAUACGGAUCGGCUAACUCCGUGCCAGCAGCCGCGGUAAUACGGAGGAUCCGAGCGUUAUCCGGAUUUAUUGGGUUUAAAGGGAGCGUAGGUGGAUUGUUAAGUCAGUUGUGAAAGUUUGCGGCUCAACCGUAAAAUUGCAGUUGAAACUGGCAGUCUUGAGUACAGUAGAGGUGGGCGGAAUUCGUGGUGUAGCGGUGAAAUGCUUAGAUAUCACGAAGAACUCCGAUUGCGAAGGCAGUUCACUGGACUGCAACUGACACUGAGGCUCGAAAGUGUGGGUAUCAAACAGGAUUAGAUACCCGUGUAGUC